RNAcentral lists this unclassified non-coding RNA (389 nucleotides) under uncultured Agaricomycetes. Its description in RNAcentral is "partial contains 5.8S ribosomal RNA, internal transcribed spacer 2, and large subunit ribosomal RNA". The stretch from base 1 to 102 matches the Rfam family "5.8S ribosomal RNA", at positions 53 to 154 of the family's 154-position model. The record is from RNAcentral. Lineage: Eukaryota; Fungi; Basidiomycota; Agaricomycetes.
AUGCGAUAAGUAAUGUGAAUUGCAGAAUUCAGUGAAUCAUCGAAUCUUUGAACGCACCUUGCGCUCCUUGGCAUUCCGAGGAGCAUGCCUGUUUGAGUGUCGUCAAAAUUCUCAGAACCUCCUAUCUGAUGUGAUGUGGAUGGACCAUGGUGGCGGCGCUCCGCCCUCCGCCUUUGGUCCGCCACUUCUUCAGGCAGCGGGGUCUGGAUCGGUGGAGGAUGCAUUGCUCGGGCUAAACCUUUGCUUUGCUUCUCUGAAAUGGAUCGGCGUUACGGCUUCGUUGUCGGUAUGAUACAUGUCUUACCUGCUUCCAACCUGUGCCAGCCUUGAACACAAACACGCUCUCACGAUUUGACCUCAAAUCAGGCAGGACUACCCGCUGAACUUAA